UGAUUACUGCAGCAAUAGGUGAGGAAAUACUGUUUCCACUUCGCUUAAUUCCAGGCUUCCUGGAACAUUACCUUGCCUGGUGCUACUCUCUGAUCAUGACAUAAGCAUCCUUUACAUUUUUUUUUCUUUCACAAAUUAAUUCUGAGAGUUGCCUGCAGACAAAGCCAGUAACAUUUGAUCACUAAGGACAACGAUCUGAAACAGUUUGGAAAUGCCUAACUCAAAGUUCAUGCUGAUCUAGUGAAUCCUCUGAGAAAAUAAGUACUCAAUCACACCUCACAAAAGAGAGGAAUAAAGACAGCAUUUCAGAGAACUCAGACGGACUAUGGGAUACCAGCUCACAGCCUCAUCUAGCACAACAGACCUGAAACCCAUGCUAUCUUCAUCCUAUGGGAGUCCUUGAACCCUUUAAUGCAGAUACACUGUCUGGAGUUGCUAUUGUUAUGAAGAACUGCAUUUUUAGAUAAUGCUGUUUCUAUAGCUUGCAAAGAGAUGGAGUCACUAGGAGCUGGAAUAGAAGCCCAAGCAGGAAGCUAGAAUGACAACAUCAUUAUUAUGGUUGUUAUAAAAACCUGUGCCAUCUUACACAAUUGCUCACUUUCCUUCAUGGCUUCCCUACGACAAAUAUCACGAGAAGUUAAUAUUUUUGUGUCCUCACCUCCAUUUCCAAUAGCUGAAGCAUGCUGCUAUAAGAAACUUACCUUUACUCAAUUGUCUGGUAAGAAAAGCACAAGUUUAACAGUGUUAAUCAUUUAGUCAGUAAAUGUUUGAAUGAAGAUUAAUGAUCCUGUAUAUAGCAGAAACAGUAAGUGCAAAUGCUAACACGUUGCGUCAUUUCUUGUUACACUGAUGAUUUAAUAGAACUAUACAAAGUUUCAAAUUAAUUUCUUUUCAGAAUUAUUGUUUAACACUUUCUGCAUUUUCUCCCUCAUCCAGCCAAGCUCAGGUGGUGGUGAGUCCUGCCUGCCACAGGUGACACCAGCUGCCACUCC
Molecule: long non-coding RNA, 992 nt
Organism: Oxyura jamaicensis (ruddy duck)
Lineage: Eukaryota; Metazoa; Chordata; Aves; Anseriformes; Anatidae
Exons: 6
Source: RefSeq, a predicted model, not a curated record